This 68-nucleotide transfer RNA is filed under the name Podarcis lilfordi (Lilford's wall lizard). Its description in RNAcentral is "tRNA-His". It matches the Rfam family "tRNA". From Rfam's summary of the family: Transfer RNA (tRNA) molecules are approximately 80 nucleotides in length. Their secondary structure includes four short double-helical elements and three loops (D, anti-codon, and T loops). Lineage: Eukaryota; Metazoa; Chordata; Lepidosauria; Squamata; Lacertidae. The record is from RNAcentral.
GUAAAUAUAGUUUAUCAAAAACACUAGACUGUGACUCUAGAAACAGAAGCGCUACCUUCUUAUUUACC